GGGGCCUUAGCUCAGCUGGGAGAGCGCUACGCUGGCAGCGUAGAGGUCAGGGGUUCAAGCCCCCUAGGCUCCACCA
RNAcentral lists this transfer RNA (76 nucleotides) under Erysipelotrichaceae bacterium. RNAcentral's name for it is "tRNA-Ala". It matches the Rfam family "tRNA". From Rfam's summary of the family: Transfer RNA (tRNA) molecules are approximately 80 nucleotides in length. Lineage: Bacteria; Bacillati; Bacillota; Erysipelotrichia; Erysipelotrichales; Erysipelotrichaceae. The record is from RNAcentral.